RNAcentral lists this unclassified non-coding RNA (771 nucleotides) under Hevea brasiliensis (rubber tree). The record is from RNAcentral. Lineage: Eukaryota; Viridiplantae; Streptophyta; Magnoliopsida; Malpighiales; Euphorbiaceae.
GUUCUCAUCAAAUCAUAGAUAUACAACAGAUAGUGGGUAUCUUCUCUAGCAUAUCUAAGCAUCUCAUUAGAAAGAGGGCGUAAUCUCCAAUCUGCAUUCUGGUAUUCUUUGUUGGCAGUGAUUCCACAAAAGUGAUGCAAAAGAUACUCCAAACUAUUUCUAUCCAGCUUCAAUACUCUUGAGGCCUGUCCAGUGUCAAACAGAUUGCAGAUAUAUAUGCCAAAGUCCCGUUGAAGCCAUAUAAUAUCUCGAUCUGCUCCAUGCAUGACCUUUUUCUUGGUGGGAUCCUUGAAAACUUCCCUAAGGUAUGGCCCAACAUGUAUUCGAAGCUUUAAAGUAUCUACAAUAAAAUCCUCAGUUCUGGUAGAAAUUUGCAUCAAGCAUGUCAACCCUUGGAAUGAGCGAUACUGAUUAUGUUCCAGAUCAACCGCAAAUUCAUCUACACUGCGCAAUUUAGCUGCCAGCUCCUUCAGAUCUUUGACUUCUUCCACAAGCUUGAAUGGGGUACGCUCCAAGGGGAGUGGUGAUACAGGCUCAAGAUUCCCAGUACUUUUAUCCACAAAAUCCAAAACAGACAGCUUUUCCAGAGGAUGAACAAAUCCCGACCCGUCCUCACUCCUCUGCAACCAAACAUGCUCAAACCGCUGGUUCGAAUUAUUCACCAAUAUAUUAUACUCGUCUUGAGGCUUCUUUAUUGUAGGUAUAUGAAACGGGACCUUUGCUUUCACUGCCUUUGCCUUAAUAUCAGCUACCUUCACUCCAGAAUCACAC